UACCAGCUUGUGGAUAAGUAUUAUAGCCCUACAUUUACCAUAUAAUACUGUUUGUUUUAUUAUUUAAUAGUUGACACUGCAUGGCACAUACUGUGUUAUCACUAACAUCCCAUUCUAAACAUAGUCCAGGUCUGAUUUUGUCUGAUGCAUUACAUUUACAUUACAUUACACUUAUUCAUUUAGCAGACACUUUUAUCCAAAGCGACUUACAGAUGAAGACAGUGGAAGCAAUCAAAAAACAACAAAAAGAGCAAUGAUAUAUAAGUGCUAUAUCAAGUCUCAGUUAGGUUAACACAGUACACGUAGCAGGGGAUUUUAAAUAAUAUAAUAAAUAAAAUAAAAAAAAGAAUAAAACAAAUAAUAGAGCAAGCUAGUUAGAGGUCUAUAUACAUACACACACAUAUGUAAUAGCAGGGUUUCAGUCACGUGAUUAAGAUGACGCGCGAGGGCGGGAAGAAGGCAGAUGGAGGGCAGGAAGUAAACAUGGAGAAUACGUCUAUAGAGGAAACCGUUGCAGAAAGUCAGUAUUGUACGGAUUUAGAUCCAGUUUCAAGAUAUAGAUACAAGGAGUUAAUUAACAGAUAUGUUGGACGUGACCCGUACCUCAUGAAGAUGAGUGAGUUUUCAGUAGAACUGAAAGAUUUACCGACAGUUGAGGCUGUUGACAUCACCAACUAUCUGGUCCUUCAGACAUCGUACUACACCAGACAGCAAAUGAAGGCCUACAAAAGUAUGGAGGCAUACAACUUUUUUGUCAACGGAUGGGUCCACAACCUCGGUGUCAAACGGCUCCACGAUGAUCAUCGUUUGGUCUUCGCCAGAGUAAACCACUCUCAGAGAUCAAGCGAAACACCUCUGAAGACCUGGAUUAUUGCGAAGGAGGUUGGAGAAGUCAUUGCAGCUCAUUGCAAUUGCAUGGCAGGACUAUCAGAAUCAUGUUCUCAUGUAGGGGCAGUUCUUUUUUCCAUUGAAGUUGGGGUAAAGAUGCGAGAUUCCGCUUCCUGCACAACAGAGCAGUGCAAGUGGCUGAUGCCAUCACAUGUAAAAAAGAUUCCUGCUGCUCCAGUAGCUCUGAUUGACUUCUCCUCAGCAAAAGCAAAAAAAAAUAAAGCUUGA
Molecule: long non-coding RNA, 1116 nt
Filed under: Carassius auratus (goldfish)
Lineage: Eukaryota; Metazoa; Chordata; Actinopteri; Cypriniformes; Cyprinidae
Description: lncRNA (ENSCARG00000063540.1)
Source: RNAcentral